Molecule: ribosomal RNA, 499 nt
Filed under: uncultured Winogradskyella sp.
Lineage: Bacteria; Pseudomonadati; Bacteroidota; Flavobacteriia; Flavobacteriales; Flavobacteriaceae
Description: bacterial SSU rRNA
Rfam family: Bacterial small subunit ribosomal RNA
Source: RNAcentral
GGAAAUCAUUGGGUUUAAAGGGUCCGUAGGUGGACAAUUAAGUCAGAGGUGAAAUCCUGCAGCUCAACUGUAGAAUUGCCUUUGAUACUGGUUGUCUUGAAUUAUUGUGAAGUGGUUAGAAUAUGUAGUGUAGCGGUGAAAUGCAUAGAUAUUACAUAGAAUACCAAUUGCGAAGGCAGAUCACUAACAAUAUAUUGACACUGAUGGACGAAAGCGUGGGGAGCGAACGGGAUUAGAUACCCCGGUAGUCCACGCCGUAAACGAUGGUCACUAGCUGUUCGGAUUUCGGUCUGAGUGGCUAAGCGAAAGUGAUAAGUGACCCACCUGGGGAGUACGUUCGCAAGAAUGAAACUCAAAGGAAUUGACGGGGGCCCGCACAAGCGGUGGAGCAUGUGGUUUAAUUCGAUGAUACGCGAGGAACCUUACCAGGGCUUAAAUGUAGAUUGCAUUAGCUAGAGAUAGCUAUUUCUUCGGACUAUCUACAAGGUGCUGCAUGGUU